Molecule: long non-coding RNA, 585 nt
Organism: Mya arenaria
Lineage: Eukaryota; Metazoa; Mollusca; Bivalvia; Myida; Myidae
Exons: 5
Source: RefSeq, a predicted model, not a curated record
ACUCAACGUAGGGUUUCAUGAAAGCCUCUUGUUGGAACUCUAAUACUUUAUGUAUUUUUUUCAAUUUUAGACCGAGUUGGAGAUACAGUUGCAGGUUGCGAUAGUGAAGUACAUAAUUCUGUUUGUUUUCUAAAGUGGUGCGGACUUGGAGAGAGCGGUGUUCUUGCAGUAGAAGAUGGUGUAGAUAGCUGACUGUAGCUGUGCUCGUUCUGAAGUUGUGAAGUGGUGAGAAGUCCUGUUGUAUGAUCUACAUUGCUUGUUGAAGAGGAGCUUUGGGUGUCGCUGCUUGGAGGUCGAAAGACAAUCAACGUCUGAGAGGGAAAUAUGUUGGUGCGCAAUUUAUACAACUUGUUUGAAUGUGGGCUUACAUCAACGACAGCAAGACUUGGCGAUCGACACUCUACUCUGUCAAAUGGAUAUUUAGCUGUGCUGUUUUUCAACAACUCUGCAUGAGCUACAAUAAGAGCUGGAUUGACUCUUACCUUCUUUGCUAUUCACUUUUCGCUUGAUUUACAAUUUGCUGUGUGGGGGAAGUCACGUUCAAUGUCAAGUCACUGCUCUCUGCGGAAGCCUUAUGAGAUAUGG